CCCUAUCUGCCGUGGGUGUAGGAUACUUGAGAGGAGUUGCCCCUAGUACGAGAGGACCGGGGUGAACGAUCCACUGGUGGACCUGUUGUUGCGCCAGCAGCAGUGCAGGGUAGCUAUGAUCGGACAGGAUAACCGCUGAAGGCAUCUAAGCGGGAAGCCCCCCUCAAAACAAGGUAUCCCUGAGAACCGAGAUAGACCAUCUCGUCGAUAGGCCGGAGAUGUAAGCGCAGCAAUGCGUUCAGUUGACCGGUACUAAUUGUCCGAUAGGCUUGAU
RNAcentral lists this ribosomal RNA (274 nucleotides) under Alexandrium margalefii. RNAcentral's name for it is "partial Bacterial large subunit ribosomal RNA". It matches the Rfam family "Bacterial large subunit ribosomal RNA", at positions 2636 to 2925 of the family's 2925-position model. The record is from RNAcentral. Lineage: Eukaryota; Dinophyceae; Gonyaulacales; Pyrocystaceae.